AUGAUGCACAAAAAGUUUGGUUAUUUAUAAGGUAAUAAUUUGUCCAUCUCAGGCCCUAAAGAUUGCACUCAAGGCCCAACAGCUUUAUCGCUUUAUCCUGAACUAGAAAACAUUUCUCAGUUAACUUCGGUAUGUUAAGGACCCUGUUCCGCUGACAUAAGGACUGGUUUUCUGGAUCUACUGAUGUUUUCAAGUUAUUUGGUGAAGCACAACGGAUGCUUUUGGACCGUGAAAAAAGAAUGGUUCAUGAUAGUAAGCCUAGAGCUUAUGGAAACAUUUCAACCCCUAGUUGGAACCCUAAACAACCGAAUACACUAUCAAAUGUCCAAUAUCAACAUCCUCAGAAUCAAGGUCAUUCUGUUAAUUUUAUUGCAGCGCAUCCUUGUAAUUUUCAUUUUAAUCCACAGCAAUUCUCAACUACUGGUGGACAUCAGUCAACUUUCUAGACUAUUAUCCUUUCUAUUCAGUUAGGUGCCAGUUUUUUAAAGAUGUCAAAGCUAUUCUAGGGUUGGGUCAAAACGUCUAUUUAUAGUAUGGGUCCAAACGGGCUAGUCAACAGUUUUUUGCAAGUAAUAUGAAGGGCGUGCCAGGUUACUUUGGUUGCUGCUGUUUGAAAUUUCAAGAUUGGUAUGGGUUUGAUGUUUGUGGCUGAGUUUGCCUUUUGACUAUCGUGGAUUGGUGGGUAACUGGGUAUGGUUAGUGGUAAUCUGUUGCAGGUUGGAUGUGCUAAAAGGUUGUUGAUUGGGGCUGCUAUGGGGAGAAUAGAGGUCAAGACUACUAGGAAGCUGAAGAGAAGAUUAUUCUCUUGUUUUUAUGAGUUGGGUUUAUUUUUUGAUUUUCUUUCUUUGUUUGGUUGCUUUUAAGAGGUUAUGAUUGUAUAGCGUUUUUUUUUUUUCUGGUUUGACUUGCCAACAGAUAACCACAAUAGCUAA
This is a long non-coding RNA of Helianthus annuus (common sunflower), 932 nucleotides long. RefSeq lists it as uncharacterized. Lineage: Eukaryota; Viridiplantae; Streptophyta; Magnoliopsida; Asterales; Asteraceae. The transcript is spliced from 4 exons. The record is from RefSeq and is a predicted model, not a curated record.